GCCUUGGCCGGCCUUCCUCCUCGCCUGGGUGAGAUUCUGAGUUUAAGGACUACACUCACGUUCCUUGGUUCCUGCAUUCCCCGCAUCCUGGCGCUGCCACUACCUGAAAUGAACAGGCCACUACAUGGAAUGAACAGUGGGCGUGGUGAAGGGCGGCUGUGGCGCUGAAUCAAACUGUUAAAGGAGUUGAUACCCACCCGUACUGUUAAAUAUUGAUGCGGUGGACUGAGCUAGCUAG
Molecule: long non-coding RNA, 238 nt
Organism: Portunus trituberculatus (swimming crab)
Lineage: Eukaryota; Metazoa; Arthropoda; Malacostraca; Decapoda; Portunidae
Exons: 2
Source: RefSeq, a predicted model, not a curated record